UGGGGAAUAUUGGACAAUGGGCGAAAGCCUGAUCCAGCCAUGCCGCGUGAAGGAUGAAGGUCCUCUGGAUUGUAAACUUCUUUUAUCUGGGACGAAAACGGGAUUUUUAUCUCAAUUGACGGUACCAGAGGAAUAAGCACCGGCUAACUCCGUGCCAGCAGCCGCGGUAAUACGGAGGGUGCGAGCGUUAUCCGGAUUUACUGGGUUUAAAGGGUGCGUAGGUGGGCUUAUAAGUCAGUGGUGAAAUCUCCGAGCUUAACUUGGAAACUGCCGUUGAUACUAUAGGUCUUGAAUUAUCUGGAGGUAAGCGGAAUAUGUCAUGUAGCGGUGAAAUGCUUAGAUAUGACAUAGAACACCUAUUACGAAGGCAGCUUACUACAUAUAAAUUGACGCUGAGGCACGAAAGCGUGGGGAACAAACA
RNAcentral lists this ribosomal RNA (421 nucleotides) under uncultured bacterium. Its description in RNAcentral is "bacterial SSU rRNA". It matches the Rfam family "Bacterial small subunit ribosomal RNA", at positions 355 to 774 of the family's 1533-position model. The record is from RNAcentral.